GACGAAGGAUGCAAGCGUUAUCCGGAUUCAUUGGGUUUAAAGGGAGCGUAGGUGGCCUUAUAAGUCAGUGGUGAAAUCUCGCAGCUUAACUGUGAAAUUGCCAUUGAUACUGUAGGGCUUGAGUACAGAUGCCGUUGGCGGAAUAUGACAUGUAGUGGUGAAAUACAUAGAGAUGUCAUAGAACACCGAUUGCGAAGGCAGCUGACGAAACUGUAACUGACACUGAGGCUCGAAAGUGCGGGGAUCAAACAGG
RNAcentral lists this ribosomal RNA (253 nucleotides) under uncultured bacterium. Its description in RNAcentral is "partial 16S ribosomal RNA". It matches the Rfam family "Bacterial small subunit ribosomal RNA", at positions 524 to 776 of the family's 1533-position model. The record is from RNAcentral.